AGGGGGAUCCUAGGAAGAGAAAGUUGGGGAUGUAGCCGAUAUCCGCGGCCGGUUGUCCCAGAGUACCCUGCAACCCUGCAACUAGUGUGGCUCAUGCCGCCCGUCAAGCAAACUUCAACCCUCCGUUUCCCCUUCCUUGCUCUGAGUCACAGUGGAGCGGCGUCUCGCCCUAGAGGCCUGGCCAGGUAGUUUAUUCUGAUUUCUGCCUGAAGUCUCUCUCAUCACCCACCUGCCGAAGAUUCUGUAUUGCGUGAAGAAAGGCUGUCUCAGAUCCCCAUGGAAAAAACUUUAUCAGGAAAGAGCUAACAGCAAAGGACCACCUGGCUCUGACAUAUUCUAAGAUAAAACCCUUCUCUGUUAUUCCUCAUGACUCCCAUAAGAAUUACCAGUGAUUCCCUUGUUUACUUUCCUCUAAAGGAUCCAAGGUCCUCUUCC
Non-coding RNA from Sus scrofa (pig), 435 nucleotides. The record is from RefSeq and is a predicted model, not a curated record. Lineage: Eukaryota; Metazoa; Chordata; Mammalia; Artiodactyla; Suidae.